ACUCGGACCCUGCGCGCUCAACCCAAACCCGAGGAAGCAUAGUUGCAUUUAAACUGCGAUCCCACCGAGGUCUCUCUUCCGAGUAGUCCGUCGGCUUGCCCAGCCACACUCGAGGAGCGCGCGUAUACCUCGAGGCACGUACACCCGCACUCCGGAUACCGAAACGCCGCGACACUUGUCUCUCGCCUCCGUAUCCCCCUCGUCGUCGCUAUUUUUUUAUUCGCCUUUGUCCGCGCCGGGAGGGGGAACGAAAACGUACCGGAAAAGUGUCCAGAGAACGAAAAAUGGGGUUGUCGCGCGUCAUCGCGACGGGGAAACCGGGACGAUGAUUUUUCUUUGCGAGCAGUGACGAGAAAAACGAGUAAAACGCGCGCGGGACGAGUUUGCUCGGAGGUGUUCAUCGGGCCUCCAGUGAAUAGUGUCGCGGAAACGGUACGUUGGUUCAAGGAGGAAAAGCUGAUCGUUGUUGCCGGAUAUCGAGGGAACGUAGAACACCAUACAGACGCUGUUUAGCUGCUUUUUAUGGCUUUCCCGUCGAAUCAAGUGGAAAUUCGAUCGAUCCCAUAGCGGUCGGAGCAAUCUUCUCGGCUUCGCUCGUACGCGUCGUUCCGCGCUGUCGGAAAGUCGAAUUCGAUUCGUCCGGAUAGUCCGGCCCGGGACUGUCAAACUUCCGCUCAGGAUCAGCUGCUUCGCGAGCCAUCCGUGUAUACGGGAUGUCCUAGAAGUGUGCGUCGUCUUUUUUUUUCCGCUCCGUUCGUCGAAGUUUUACGUGCGUCGAGUGGGGAAAACGACGGUCUCGUCUGGUAGCUUUUGAUUCAUUUCGGUGACAGAGAUGGGCAUCAUUUACCUCGAAUAAUUGAUAACGGAUAGGGUACGCGAUUCAUUCAUUUGUAGCGUCCGUUAGCCUACUCCAUUCGUAAAACGUUUCAUUCUGCGAUUAACAUUCUAGUUCAAAGAUGGACGAAAUUUUCUUUCCGUAAUUGAUAACGUAUGGAAAGUUAAUCGUGACGUUUAUUGGACAGUUAUAUCAUUGAUUGUUAACUCGUGUAAUAUUUCGUUCCGUAAUUAAUAUUCUAGUUCAAAGAUGGACGAAAUUUUCUUUUGUUAACGGAUUGCGUACAGGAACUUUACUCGUGGAGUUUAUUCAAUCGAGGAGUUCAAUUUUUAAGCCUCCAUUGUGGAAUAUUUCAUUUCGACAGAUAGGUUCUGCUUUUAUUCGUUGUUCGAAAUUUUGAUCCAAGUGUAAAUGUUGGCCACCUCUGUUCUGUCGAAAUGUCACUUUUUGGGAAGGCAAUCAAUCGGGAAAACCCUAUACCAGGUACGGGCAAUAAUUUUAUUCGAGUAAUCGAUAACGAGUUGAAUCAAAGUGUAACAAUGUAUCGAAGAGUUAAACUUUUAUUCCACGACUCAAAUUUCAAUUUCUAAUUAACGAAUGAUGGACGAACAGUCCAUCUUUUAUUCAUUGUUUGACAUUUUUACGUAUACCUUUCUUGCUCUAUUUUAGCUAGAAAUGCCUUAUCGACCAAAAAACCCCUCCAGGAAUUUUUCCGCAAGGCUUCUCGUGCUUCUAUCGAGUAACUUGUUGACGUCUCUCGUGGCCAACACCACGGUCCACGGCGUUUUAAAUCUGCAGUUCCACGAUUACGCAUUCCCACAGAACCAGUGAGCUCGUGUAUUACACUUUCGCGACCAUUUUUGUCGAAUCCUUGGAUUUACUCGCAAAAUUGCUCGACACAGGUGUAUGGAUCAAUAAAAUAUUUUGAUUUGAAAGUUACGUAAUUCUGCCGAAUCGGAGUUAAGCAAAAUUGUAUUCGAUCUAGAUAAAAAAUAAAACCUCCGAGCAGCGAUUUAUAUAUACGCUUUUUUUCCUUCGAUGUGAAACAAAAUUUGAUGGGUACCGUAGGUAUCGCGGGGUAUUCGCAGCCAUUUAUAAUUCAACGUUGCGACCUACAUUGUUAUAUAUUCCACAAUAAAAUAGAAUAAAGCGUAGAGAAUCUACCAACACGAAAUACACUCACAAAUAUUGAAAAUAUGUACUAUGAUAAUUAUUGAAUGAAUAUUGGACGAAAAGUUUUUAUCCAGAUGAUAAUAGCGCUCGUCUCCGCGCAAGAUUAUGUGUCAUGGGUUGCUCGUGCUUCUUCCCCCUUAAAUAAAUACAUAAAUUUGGUACUUAGGACUCGAAGAGCCAACUUUGAAUUAUCGAUUCCAUCGAAGUCGUUUCUUUUGCCUUUCGUCGGCAUUCGGACACCGAGAACACUGUGUUGCGCGCUGCUCGAGUUAAUUAGUCCGGUUAAUUGCCUUCGUUAUAUCGGGAGAGAGAACUUUUCACUCGACGAGACGGGAAGGGAAACAAGUUUUUGCAAAUUGCGUUAUCUCUGAUUUCGUGAUUUCUUGCCAACCGCGUUGGACUUUUCUCGUUGCUCCAAUGUUCUCAUAGUUUCCGACAAAGCCAGAUUCCAUCGUUCGCUUCGAUUCGGAAAUGAACAAUAUUUAUCUGACCGCGCAUUUGUAACAUCCGUUAUUUUAAACGUCCUCAUAUUUUAUUCGUUCAACGUCUUCGUUGCAUUUGACAGAGAGAUUCUCUACAAGAAGAGUAAGCGUUCUACGAAUUCAGUGCACACCUGAUUAAUCGCUGUACGUUUUAUUCGUUACCUAUUAUUCCGUUCAAUUUUGCCCGUGUCUACUUCAAACUUCUUAGGAGUUUUUCGUCGCGACGUGAACGUUCAGGUGUUUUCGGAGAAUGAGGCAGGACUUCGCGGAUUCGUUUUGGAAGUACACUUUCCUCAUUUUCGCUCGACAAUUGGUCCACGAAGGACGACCAAACGCUGUUGCUACGUGCUCGACGGUGCCACCUUUAAAGCCGAUACCGCGAAAUAAAGUGCUCGCGGUGACAGAAUUCUAACGAGUCCACGAAUAAUUGUAGAGUGUACCAGAAUGGUUGUGUGCCAACGUCAGACAGGCAGAGAUUCUUCAUAAUUGGAUAGUGUCGUUGCUAGAAAGAACUUCUGUGUCAGCAGUUAAACGUAACACGUUCGAUAAUGUUCCCUCGUUAAAGACUUUUGUAUUUCAUUUUGCGAUAGUGAAUUAAAUCAGACGGUUCAGAAGAUACUCUCUCUGGAGUGCAUGUGUGCUCAUAUAUCAAGGACAAUUUUAAUAGGUUUCAUUUUAUUACGCGUAGUUUUGAAUGAAGGAUUUGUUGUUAUGAAUCAAACAUUCAAAGUCAAUGUAAAAUAUAUUUUAACGAGAAACACGAUCAUAAUUGAAGACAAAUUAUUAUAUAUAUAUAUAACUUUACUUGACUGUACUUUAUUUUUAUUCUCCUAUUCUCAUUUUUCUUCAUUCAUUCUAAGAUACAUAAUUUUUCAAUAAUUAUGAUUCAGUUUACUAUUAGAACAUACGUGAUACUUGUUCUGGACUUCCACUCUACAGAAACUAAUAUUGUAUUACCACACAUUUAAUAGACAUACUUCAAUGGAGAAAUCAUGCUCAAAGUCGAUACACGUGGUAAAAGAUGUUCUCUUUUUGGCAGUUAGGUCCUACGGUACAUCCACCGUAGAAUUUCUGGCCGGCUAACCAGUGAUUCGUUCGAAAAAUUAAACACUCUGUGUGACAGCCUUCCGUCUCCCCUCUCUUUUAUAUUUCCUAGCGUCGAGGUUCGAUCCUGGCCGUAAAAUUUCACCCAUCGGAAUUGCGCUGUUCGCGUCUGAAACAAUACCCGCCGCGGAAAAGGAUAAAUUAAUUGGACAUCGUUUCGGAUAAUGUUGGCGCUCCCCUGUAAAACGUUUCGUAUCGAGCGGCUCGAAUUAACGUAAUAGUCCCGCUUAUCGAUAUCCGAUCGGUUCAGGGGUGCCAACAAACACGUUCAAUAUUUAACUUCUCGUUCCAGUUGUAUUGUUUGAGGAUCGUUACGCCCCGAACCUUUCCCUUCCGCUCCGAGCGGCGCACAAACGCAAAUUAUCGGCGGUGAACGAAAGUUCUGGCCCCUUCUUCGCACCUCCGAUUCCGAGUAUCCAUUUUUAAGCCUUUCGACCCAUUUUCCCCCGUAGCUCCGAGCACCUCCUCUCCCCUUUCUGGCUUCCUUCCGAUUCGCGAAUCAUGCGCGUUCGCUCGAGACGAGUCCAAGUGACUGUCGCACAGUGGAUUGUUUGACUUCGACAUUCGACCGGAAUUAUUUCAUCGGUCAAAGAGCAUGGACGGUUCAACGCAGAUAUUUAGUGAAAUUAAAUUAAUAGACACGCGAAGAGAAACCAGAUAUUGGGUUGUUUCUGAAAAAACUUCGUUAUUUUGUUUGUGAAAAGGAAAUAAUUAUUUUGUAAUAUUAGGUGUAGAUGUUAAUUCUGCGUUUUCUAAGACAAUGUUACCAUUUGUUUAUAAGGAAAUAUUAUGCAAGUCUCAGCCUGGUGGACAUUACAAGUUUUUUUAUGUUUAUGAAGUCAAGUAAUUUACAAAUUUUGCUUAUUGUUGCUCUUCUAACAGAUUGCACUUGCACUUGACUGUUGUUAGGUGUAGAAGUUGAUCAUCUGCCUUCGUAUUUCAUUAUUUACGACGCUAGUUUAAACAGAAAUAUUUACCCGUGACCCAUAUUUGGGCGCAGGGCUUCUCACUAAUUGUAAGAAAGUGAAUCGAUUAUUUCCAUAGAUGAGAUUUUACGGAAAAUACGUCUACAUAGGAUUCGUGAAUUUGAGAAAGUUGCAAAAACGAGUCCUAGUAUAGAUUCGACAUAAGUAAGUUGUAUAGAAACAAAGCCUUAGACUCGUACAAAUUUGUAUGAGUAAUCUAUCGAAUCCUAUACAUUCCUUUGAAGUUUGGUUUUACACCUGCACGUGCCCUCCUGCAAUGUAUGACCGAGGAAAAAUUGAAAAUUUCUAUUUUAUCUUAAUACACAAAUAAGAAUAUUCAUCGUAUGCUUUAAACUAUUCGAAGCGUAAUCGUUACUGCCUUCGUCGAAACGAAGAGCACGCGCUCACCUUAGCUUUGAAAUAUUACAAAUUACUCGUUUACAUUAUAAUUGCAGAUUGCUCACUGCUUGCACGCUGUGAGUGAUUUCAACAGAUCUAAUCAGAAAGUAAUCACGGCCCGACGAUGGUUCGCUUCCACUCGCGUUCGGUGGGGUGUACUUGAAUGGCUCGUUUCGUUUUUAUUAAUAAAGAUAUAAAUUAAUAACAAUAAAAAUUUAUUGAGCCCGUCGAGCGAGACACGAGUCAAAUCGCCGCCGCGGCCGGAUGGAAUGGACGCGACGCGAUCCGGCCGACAAAUUGCAAUCCCAAUUCGCAGCUUCUGUAAUUACCGUUGAUACUUGGUUCCGUGUCGCGGGAUCGUUACACGCCGACCAAAAGGUAAUUUCUUACUCCGUGUAAUAACACGCUCCUACGGCUUGUGUACACACAUCGGCCGCCACUUUUGUGCAACUAUUACGGCAAUUACCCUGCCUGCACCCCCACCCCCAACCGCACCACCCCAACCGCGUCGAUCGCUUCGACAUCAACUGUUGCACGAGUUAUCCGCGACUCUCGACGGAAUUCGUUACGUGUUCCCGUUGAUUAAUUGAUUCAUUAGCCACCAACAAACACGAACUUUCCACUCUGGACCUAAAAAUGAUCGUUCGGGGAGGGGAGGCAGGGCUAGCUGGUGUCUGGUCGACCAACAGAUUAGGGGUUGUUCAGAGUUUUCCGAAUAGGUCGUCGAGCUUUGAAUUGAUCAGUCCCAGGGACGGGCAUUAACUUGUAUUAACGCUAGGUUCACGGUGAUUCCUUAUCGGAUUUUCAUUAGUGAAGUAAUGCUUUAAUAAGUGAAUUUGAAUAUAUGCUUGUCCUUUUAUAUGGAUAAAAGUCAGCGUAGGUGGUUGGCGAAAAAUAUAAAUGGUUUCUGUAAAACUUUGUCAAAUUAGAAAUGGGUCACCUAAACCUAACGUUACACUCGUAUUUUAUUCUUACUGUUUCAUUGAGUCAGCUCUGAUACUUGAUUUGUCACAAAUGUGUAGAUUGCUUAAAUUAAAAACUAUUGUCAUUACUGAUUCCAAGUCGUAGGUAUUCACGUUCUGUCUUUCGAAAUUUAGUGUAAUUGUAAUAUUAACGAAUAUCGAGGGUGACUCAAAUGCGGGAGACAAUAUUUUUACCCAGACCUAACCCAUUGGCUACCAGAUGAAUUUAAAGCGUUUUGCCUUAGGCACCAAGACCUAAUACAAAUGUAUAAUCUAAAUUAUUAUUUUCGUAAUAAAAAGUGAUAUUUUUAUUCUUUUAAAAAGAAAAUUUGCGAUCAUUCUUUCGUAAUAAUUCGUGACUCAAAAACUUAUCCCUCGAGUAAUUGAAAUCAGUUUGAACUAGGAGGCAUCUCGUAGUGAAUUGGUUAAACUUGCCAAUUCAUGCAUCCUCGAAUCUAUAAUUCUUCAAAGAAAAUACAAAGUAAUUUACCAAUUGUAAAUCACAACCAUAAGGCGAUCCUAAUGUAUCGAACGAAACUCCAAUCGAUCAUUUUAAGUUCACUAAUCACGAAAGUGUGCUCGUUCUCCGUCGAACUCUUUCCGAAGUCCGCCAAUUCAUCUCCCGAUUGGAAUCGUUGGUUCGCGCAGACUGAAAAUUAGAAUUCGUCGAUUGGAAGGGAGAAUCGGUAAAACUCUUUGAUGGGAGGGAUAGAUCCUCGCGAGUGAUCAGGGAAAAUUGAUGACUGUCUUAAUGGAGGAACGAAGAGGAACAGCGUGGAUCUUCCUGUUCAACGGAAUCGAUAACAAACGUGGAAUCCCCGUCUGAAGACCAUACCGUUUUGUGAAUCCGCGUCCUGAACGACCACUUGCUACUUGUUUACCUCUUCUAUCAUCCUGUAGGAAGAAAAAAGAUCACGGUUCAUGGAUCCUAGAAAAAAAAAAGACUACGCAGAGAGAAAAGAAGAUGCCCAGUCGGUAAGGAUAAGCAUUCUAUCACACCUUCUGUCGGCAUGCCCAGAAUGUACGCAGUCGUGGAAUCUCCCUGGCAACUGUUGCGAUCUAACGAAUCCGAGAGGGAAGGCGACGGAGGGACGAGAGCGGCGAUUAAUCAAUCCUCCAAAACGAGCAACGAAGGCCGGAGCCGAGCAAGAAAAAAUCGACGUUUUCAUCGAAACCGCGCGAAAAAGAGAAAAAAAGAUCGCGACGGAAAAGCUCGAAAUGGAGCGAUUGGAAAAGUCGGAGAAAGAUGAAGCGAUCGAUACGAGGCGAGGAUUUUUGAUCGAGAGAUCGGAAAAAAUACGAACGCGCCGAGCUAUUAAAAGAAUCGAACGAGAGUUCGAUUCGCCUUGCGAACGACGCGUGUGGAUGACACAGGCAGUCAACGUGCGUUAACACCUGAAACUUGUCUUGAAAUAAAAGGAACUCCGUUUCUUUUAACGUUCGGAGUAAAAUAGGUUCCUUAACCCUUUGCACUCGAGAGGUGAGUCUGAGUCACCAUUAGGUGACACGCAGCAAAUCUAUCAGCAAUAAUGAUUCUUUAGAUUUAAUUUCUUUGGAACUCGAAGUAUCGAUAAAAUGAUUGUCGGCGAGGUAAAGGUGACCUUAUUCUCAAAUCUAGAUAGCUUAGAAUUUAUGGUAAUAGAAUGCUAAGAAACAUCUCGAGUUGCUAGCAGAUACCAGAAAAAAAGGCCUCGAAUGCAAAGGGUUAAUAGGUUUCUUGAAUUCCUCAACCCUUUCGACCCUCUUGUCUUUUAUUUAAAUUCUAUCCGUUCCUUUUUUAAAAAUUAAGUGUAUCAACUUAGAAUUAGCUAUAAAUCAAAGCCUGUCGCCAGUAAAUAAACAGUUUUUGCCUGGUAGGUAUAAUUGCGAUUACCGCCUUAUUUUUCAAUUAUUCUCGGUGAAUGUAUGAUUCUGAAUCUGCUCUUGUACUAGAUUUAAAUAACCAGUAGCUUUCAUUCUGCCAUCAAUGAACUUGAUUUCGGUCUUCCCAUUAUGCCCGAUGGCUGCCCAUAACAUCACAGAUCCUCCACCACAUUGACGGCGACUUAAAAUUCUUGCUUCUUUUCGUAAAUCGUGAAAAUAAUAUUUCCAACCACCAGGUCCAUCUAAAUUCAUUUUCUUUUCAUCAGUAAAAAGCACUUUCCGCCAUUUUUUAUUCCACUGUAGAUAAUUAAGAGCAAAAUCAAGUCGACGCUGUUUAUGUACUAUCGACAAAGGUGGUUUAACAGCUGUGCCUUUUGUAUAACUCUUUUUACAGUCUUUACAGAUACCUUUAACCCACAUUCUACAAAAAUUUGCCCAAAUGUAAGCGCUGAAUUUGAUGCACAGCUUAAAACUGCUCUUUUAUCUCUUAAAGUAAGGGUUGAUUGUCUUUCGGAUCUCUUCUUUUUUCCAUAAUCUUUUGGAUUAUUUAAAAAAUUACGAAUUACACACCUACUUCUUUUCAUUUUUAGUGACGUUUAUUUUUAAUUCUCUCCUUUUGCUCUUCUUCGAAAGAUUUCUAUUUUCUCCUAUUCAGUUAGAACUUUACCACGUGGCACGAUUUUAGUUUUAAUCUCCGGUUAGUUUAGUUUUAAGUCUCCGGUUGACUCGAGGAGAUCCUCGGCUGGGAAAUGGUCCGGUUGUUACGGACAUUUGCAAUCGGAGAUACUCAGGUGUUGCGGACAAGCGGCAGGCCACGGCUGAGCAGACUGCUACACGGAUGCACGAAGCCGACGGAAAGGAGCAAGGCGAAGGAAGACGGUGGUAAUGGUGAAACUAUCUUGGGGUUAUGCUCCGGUCACUGACAUCCAGCCGUGACGCUAUAUUCUCUUCUCCUGGACACCGACGUUGCCCUCUGACAGGCUUGCGUCUGCGGAUCGCUGGCCUCUCUUUCACGGUCCCGGCUCGCGCGCUGACUCCUUCCAGCCCUGCGGUACCCCGAUUGGGCAACGAGAUGGGCAUCUGUACGAGGAAAAAUGCGGGAUUCGUGGAAACUGUAGACGCCUGGGAACUUUCUGCCUAAUUGUUUCUUUUUUUUUUCUUUUUUCUUGAUUUGCAACGGGAACGCGCGGAUCGAGUUGUACUUUUAAUUGGCGUUGGGUCUGGAUCACGAUCGAUGCUCUGACGGAAAAUUUUGGCCCAAUUAUUAGAAUAAAUACGAGGCUAUGGGAUCCUCGUAACGAGUAAUAGCGUUCGUGCCUUGCAGGUAUCCGGUAUAUAUUUAAUUCGCUACGUUUUCGACCUCGACGUCAGUCCUCCGUGGUAAAUUAAUUGUUCGAGAAAAUGUAUAUUUGAUGGUAGUAUUUUGAUAUUUUUUUAAAAAUUGUUUCAACGAACAUAAACAUUCCUCUGAGCCCAUUUCUCGAGGACGUAUAUAUACGCCAUUCGCAGUCAAAACGUUAAUUGGCUUCAGAAAAUGAGUUGUUUUAUGAAAAUAGUUAUUGCUUUCAAUUGGCCACGUUAAAACAAUUGCAUUCAUAAGUACACCAUCCUAUUUUGACGGCAAUCAAUUAUCCGCGAUCGUGUACACUAGUACAAUUAACAGGUUGAUCGCCACGUCACCCAUUUUUAAGUGACAGGACUUUUCACCAAGGAAUUAAAUAAAUUACUUCUGAAGGUGAGAUGUUAAAGAAAAUAAGUCUUUAUAAGAUUCAUGAAUUUGGCGAAAUUACAAAAAUAAGUACCACUUUAAAUUCAACAAAAAUAAUUUUCAGUCGUAUCAAAACAAAGUGUCAGGCUUGUAUAAAUUUUCACGAGUUGUUUGGCAGUCAACGUGUUAAUAUCCCUCCAAGAACGUCGAUAGACAUACAACGCCUAAAAGUUACGAUAGAAAAUCAUUUGCCAAUUAUCUUCAGAAAUUUUUACGCAGUUUUCAUCUCUAGAUUAGUGUAUAAUAUUAUUUAAAUUUUCUUUUCAUCAACAGCUUAGAAUAUUUUACAACUUCAGAUUUUUUCCAUAUAAACGUCCAUCUUCUUGGAGGUAACGGAUUAAUUCUCUGUUAAUUAAUUUUAGAUUGAUAGAUCUGUAACGAGCUCUGAGGUAUGUUUAAGUUACCAUUAGAUGCACUUAUAGGGUGGAUGCAAGUACUGUACAGCAUAAACUAUGGUAAUCGGUUUAGUGGCCCUCGCUCACGGUCGAUCACGUAGGUAUGUAUUUAGUAAAGUACAUGUAACGACGAGAUUACAACUGGUUCUGGCACGCGGAAACGGAACGACUACAUCGUUUUUACUUGUCAUUAGUUCUGUUGAGAAACACUGAUGCAACCAUCCAGAUUCAGAUGCAAUUUUCUCAAUUGAUCUUAUUAUCUUAUUUUGUUAUAUCGAUCCAAUAUUUGAAUAGUCAGUUUUAUAUCACAUCCAUCAUAUAUUUUUCCAAAAAAUCAUGCGUGCAAUAUUCGCUAUCUCGUUGCUACUUGGGCAAUUGGUGGACCCAAAAAGAAUAUAUUCCGCUUCACAGUACAAUAAUCAACUAUCAGUACUAUCAACUAUCAAACUUUCCGUUUUAUUUUAAUAGUUCUCUUCUGCAACUAUCACCACUACUUUUUAUUAAACAUGUAACGAAUUUCUUCGACGAAUCGAUUUAUUAGAUCCAGCUAGGAAAAAUGUUUAUAACAAUUGUAGAAUACAAAUUAUAGAUAACAAUUGACACGCAUGAACUAACGAAAAAUUUGAAACGCUUGAUUCAACGACGAUUAAAACUAUAAAUUUUGUCUGCGUCGAUAUAAAUAUUUAGCAAAUGUGAUAAAAACGUGUAAACCGCUACGUCGUACCGAAUACCACCGAUUGAAUUUAGUUUGCAUGGAAUGCGGCCUGGCGCUAAUUUACACUUCGCACUAAAUGGAAUUAUUGAUUCGCGUUAAAUGCAGCCCGGUGUCAAUUUGUACUGCCGUUCGAAAAUCGAAUCUCGCACUACUCGAAACGGUAUUAAUCGCGGUCCGAAUACAUUUAUAAAUAUCUGAUAAAUUAUCCAACACGUGCAGCUACAUUUUAACAAUUUAGUACAGAAAUUAUCGAUUUUUCUGGCACGGAUAUCUACAUAUUCGCGCAUCGAUCGGUGACAAUCGAUUAUUCAUAAUCACGUAUAAAUACGAAAUUCUUCUAGAAAUUGAUUGAUUCUGUAAUCUAGAGCCUUUGUUAGUAUACAAAAUUGUAUAUCACGUAAAAUUAUAUUACAGAAAUAUUAAAAUUUAAUCUGGAGUACUUUUAGUUUUCGAUUGAUUUAUAAAUGAUAAUUCUAAUGUUUUCAAAUUCGCUCGAUUUCUAUAUACUGACGAUCCAAAGAUAUACACUACCAUAAACAAUCUUCACAGUUUGUUUUUAAUAAGGAAUCAUCGCAAUCGAUUUAUAAGAUAGUCUUUAGUGAAUAAAUUAACCUCGUUUUAAUCUAAAAAAUGAUGCAAUAAUGCGUAACUGUUUAUUUCAAUUUUUAGUUUCUUUUUUGUUUUUUAAUUAAUUUUCCUAAUUAACUUGUUUCUUGCUGAACAUUAUCGCAAUAUUUUAAACCAAGGUUACCAAGCCCUCGACUUUAUAAAUAGAAUAGCGCGAUAUUUUAAUGCCGCGAUAGCUCUCUUAUUGAACGCGAUAUUUUAAUAACGCAUAGCUUCCUUAUCGAGGAAAUGCAACAUAAAUUCCUACGUUUAUUGUGUUUCGUGGGUAUCUAUAUCAUAUUACAACUCUGUAUCGUAAUUACUAGACGGCAUAUGCUUAUGCAAACUCGUUUUUUUUAUAGAUAUAGAAAUUAAAUUUAAAUUGAAGUAUUUCUUAUCUUCUCAACGAAGUAACAUGUAUUUUGUACUUGAUAUUUUAUGUAUAUUUUAUGUAUAUUUAUUUAUUUGUUAUUUCAUGUAUAUUUAUUUAUUAUUUUAUGCAUAUUUGAUAUUUGUGCACAUUCUCGUGCACACUCAUGUACUUUCAUUUGGCAUAAAUGCAUGAAUUUAAUAAUUACGAAUUUAUAUUGUCCUGUUUAUAAUUAAAUUUAGUAACUCUUAAGGGUGCAAAAUAAUAAUGCUUCGAAUAUAUGUGUAUUUACAACAAGAGGUAAUAGAAUUAUUUAAGUUAUGAAAAGAAAGAAACAAUGAACAAAUUAUGUCCUCAUAAAUUUCCCUACAUGUUCACUUGCCAUAAAUACAUAAACAUCCGCAGUCCAAUCAUCGUACAUCAAGUUACUUUUCACUAUAAUUUCAAAACUUAAAGCAUCGAAUCUCGCAAUAUUUUUUGACACGCUUCUCCCGUAUUAUACAUGUUACGUCGAAAGAUUCUCCCGUUAAUAACGACGAUGACAAUAAUUCUCAUCCAAAAACCAAUUAAGAAAGUUGCUCCCCGUCGAGUUGCAUCCCCGCCCCAUUAAAAUAUUUACAACGCGGACGAAAUCUAACGGUAAAUAUCACGCGUCUUUUCAAUUCUGUUUCAGACGAACCGUGAACAAUGGUAGUUCGAGUGCCGUCUCGAGGGAAAAAGGAAGAAAGAGUCCAAAGUAGGAUGAACCGCGAACGGUGGUCUUGAUUCCUCGACCGUCAUCGCUGAGUGCAGCUUCGGAGUUCUCUGCGCUCUUCGCCUCUUUCUUCCUUCGUUCUCCUCCCUGGCACCCUAUUUUCCUGCAGCUUCUAAUGGCUCUCGAGGGUCCCUGUCUUAUCGGUAACCCGUUUCCUCGAAUCUUCUCUCAUCGAGGAAUCAGCAGCUCUACUUUCCAGCGGUCCUCUCCCAACGACCCAGCAACGCGAUUCAACCAUUCGAAGAAAGAGGAACACUAGGGGGCAGGGGGGACAACGAUCGCACAAAAAUCGAACGUCACGGACGGGCCUGACUCUUUGCUCUACCCGUACUUUGCCCUUUGGGUGAGCAAAGUUUCAGGUGUGUCUGUGGCAGUCUACCGUCGUGGACGUUGCGAACACGAAUAAAGAUGCUCGAGGUACCCGUUCGUCCUGUAUCUUGGAAUGAAAUUGCGGAGUCUAAUUCUGUGGUAGAGUACAAUGAAUCUAUAGUGAAUCUAUAAACAAUCGUUUGGGAAAAUGGAUGGUCAUUCUUCGUGCGAUCUGUUAUUUUAAAAGCUCUCACGGAAGCGAGUGGCCACGACAGUACUCUUACGCCUGAAAUUUGCUUUUUACCUAGGCCUGUACUCUCUUGCUUGGAGAAAAUAAAGGUGAGCAAAGUUUCAGGUGUGUGAGUGCGUUGGAAUCAACAAGUACGCCUGGAUAACGGAACAACGACGAAACAGAACGUCGAAUAAAAGAAAUAUUACCCUGCGCUAAGCCCUUUCCACCAGACGUCACAGAAUUUAUAAUAUAUAGAUGCGAUAGUUUAUUGUAACGUAUAAAUACAAAGUCCAAUUUCACGUUCCAACGUAUGUAAUUCCUUGUGAAUCGAAUCAAAUUAUAUUAAUCGUAAGCAUUAAUGUUUAAGCAACCCUAUGUAUCACCCUAUGCCUCUUCCAUCAAACGUCAACAAAUUUCAGUUAUUUUACUCGUAAUUCUAAAGCUUUGAUACGAUAUACUAAACGUAAUUAUUCAUUGUAAUGUAUGAAUGCAAAGUCCGACUUCGCAUUCUAAAAUACAUGUGUAAUUGCUUGUACAUCAAAUAAAAUUUUAUUGACUGCGCAUUGAAAAAUUGAAGUCUCAUUACGGACAGCGACUGUUUAACUAAACGCUUGCUUUUAUAAAUUAUAGCCGAAGCAAUAGAAUGUAAGCAAAAAUUCGUUUCAUUUUUUUUUUUUUUUAUAGAUCUCGAUAUAGAUUUAUACCAAACUGAUCAUUGGACAGCAUAAACAGUUUGAAUGCUAUUCGUUAAGUAAAGUGUCGCGUAACCAGCGCGUAAGUAAUUAAUAUGCAAAGACAGUUUUUCCUUCCACGCAGUUUUAUCGGUAUUACGAUGUAUACUGUUCGCGUUAUACGAAGUAAUAUGAAACUCGCGCUUUGGAAAAUUCUCGUAACCGCAGGAGAUGCGUUCAAGAAUCAGUCUAAGAUUAGCAAUGACGUUAGACGGGUCUUGGAAAGGCUAAUAAAUCAAAUCGUGCAUUAGGAUCUGGUUUCCGUCAGGAUCAGGCUUCCCUGUACGUGUAUAAAUCAAUAACAAUGUGGUCGAAGCCAAUGUAAUUGAGAGUAUGUAACUUUAUACUUGAAAGUCAAUAAGAUACUACAUGUACGCGUCGAAGCGAACAAAUACGAGGAGUUUUGGUUAACAGUUUUAAAUAACUUUAAUCCCUCCGAUAUUUACUUUUAUCCCUCUCAGAAUAUAUAAUGUGGCACAUAGCGUAAUUGUAAAUAUAAACGAACUGUCAGAUAAAUAUAUUUAACAAGGAAUUUAAUAUAAUAUAUAGUUUAAUUGUGUAA
Long non-coding RNA from Hylaeus volcanicus, 14225 nucleotides. RefSeq lists it as uncharacterized. The record is from RefSeq and is a predicted model, not a curated record. NCBI's taxonomy places the organism in Eukaryota, Metazoa, Arthropoda, Insecta, Hymenoptera, Colletidae. The transcript is spliced from 5 exons.